UAGUACGAGAGGACCGGAGUGGACGCAUCACUGGUGUUCGGGUUGUCAUGCCAAUGGCACUGCCCGGUAGCUAAAUGCGGAAGAGAUAAGUGCUGAAAGCAUCUAAGCACGAAACUUGCCCCGAGAUGAGUUCUCCCUGAGACUUAGAGUCUCCUGAAGGAACGUUGAAGACGACGACGUUGAUAGGCCGGGUGUGUAAGCGCAGCGAUGCGUUGAGCUAACCGGUACUAAUGAACCGUGAGGCUUAACCUUAC
This 254-nucleotide ribosomal RNA is filed under the name Salmonella enterica subsp. enterica serovar Agona str. 400095 14. RNAcentral describes it as "partial 23S ribosomal RNA". It matches the Rfam family "Bacterial large subunit ribosomal RNA", at positions 2679 to 2925 of the family's 2925-position model. The record is from RNAcentral. Lineage: Bacteria; Pseudomonadati; Pseudomonadota; Gammaproteobacteria; Enterobacterales; Enterobacteriaceae.